Non-coding RNA from Bubalus bubalis (water buffalo), 73 nucleotides. Lineage: Eukaryota; Metazoa; Chordata; Mammalia; Artiodactyla; Bovidae. The record is from the annotation of a RefSeq genome assembly.
UCUCUGGUGGUCCAGUGGUUAGGACGUUGCACUUUCACUGCCUGGGACCCGGGUUCAAUUCCUGGUCAGGGAA